UACAGAGGGUGCGAGCGUUGUUCGGAAUUAUUGGGCGUAAAGGGCGCGUAGGCGGUGCGGUAAGUCACCUGUGAAAUCUCCUGGCUCAACUGGGAGCUUGCAGGCGAAACUGCCGUGCUGGAGUGUGGGAGAGGUGAGUGGAAUUCCCGGUGUAGCGGUGAAAUGCGUAGAUAUCUGGAGGAACACCGGUGGCGAAGGCGGCAUCCUGGACCGGCAUUGACGCUGAGGCGCGAAAGCCAGGGGAGCAAACGGG
RNAcentral lists this ribosomal RNA (253 nucleotides) under uncultured bacterium. RNAcentral describes it as "partial 16S ribosomal RNA". It matches the Rfam family "Bacterial small subunit ribosomal RNA", at positions 524 to 776 of the family's 1533-position model. The record is from RNAcentral.